GCAAACUUGGUCAUUUAGAGGAAGUAAAAGUCGUAACAAGGUUUCCGUAGGUGAACCUGCGGAAGGAUCAUUAACGUGUUCAGGGUCUCCGACCCAUUCACGCCCCUUGUGUAACCUCUGGUUUCUUUGGCAAAAUCGUCCCGAUUUUGUCAAACUUUAACUCUGGGAAUGUGGUACUUGUCCGAGUCGCAUGAAAUACAUCAAAACUUUCAACAACGGAUCUCUUGGUUCCAGCAUCGAUGAAGAACGCAGC
This 253-nucleotide unclassified non-coding RNA is filed under the name uncultured fungus. RNAcentral describes it as "partial contains small subunit ribosomal RNA, internal transcribed spacer 1, and 5.8S ribosomal RNA". The stretch from base 1 to 73 matches the Rfam family "Eukaryotic small subunit ribosomal RNA", at positions 1759 to 1831 of the family's 1831-position model. Lineage: Eukaryota; Fungi. The record is from RNAcentral.